UUUUUUUGCAUAUCAAUAAGCGGAGGAAAAGAAACCAACAGGGAUUGCCUCAGUAACGGCGAGUGAAGCGGCAAAAGCUCAAAUUUGAAAUCCUUCGGGAAUUGUAUUUUGAAGGUGGGUUUGGUUAGGAAAAGUUACUUUAAGUCCAUUGGAAAAUGGCGCCAUGGAGGGUGAUAGCCCCGUAAAAGUAUCCCUUUUCCUUUUAUCCAUUCCCUCCAAAGAGUCGAGUUGUUUGGGAAUGCAGCUCUAAGUGGGUGGUAAAUUCCAUCUAAAGCUAAAUAUUGGCGAGAGACCGAUAGCGAACAAGUACAGUGAUGGAAAGAUGAAAAGCACUUUGAAAAGAGAGUGAAAAAGUACGUGAAAUUGUUGAAAGGGAAGGGCUUGCAAGCAGACACAACCUCGGUUGGGCCAGCAUCGGAGUGGGGGGAGACAAAAAAGAAAAGGAAUGUAACUCAUUGAGUAUUAUAGCCUUUUUCUCAUAUCUCCACCCCCUUCCGAGGCCUGCGANUCUUCAAGGAUGCUGGCGUAAUGGUUGCAAGUCGCCCGUCUUGAAACACGGACCACAAAACCC
Molecule: ribosomal RNA, 571 nt
Filed under: Metschnikowia reukaufii
Lineage: Eukaryota; Fungi; Ascomycota; Pichiomycetes; Serinales; Metschnikowiaceae
Description: partial large subunit ribosomal RNA
Rfam family: Eukaryotic large subunit ribosomal RNA
Source: RNAcentral